AGAUUGUUUAGUUUUGUUUG
Molecule: microRNA, 20 nt
Filed under: Bos taurus (domestic cattle)
Lineage: Eukaryota; Metazoa; Chordata; Mammalia; Artiodactyla; Bovidae
Description: bta-miR-1814b
Source: miRBase by way of RNAcentral